AAUGCAUAGGAAUCUGCCCAGUAGUGGGGGAUAACGUGGAGAAAUCCACGCUAAUACCGCAUAUGUCCUACGGGACAAAGCAGGGGACCUUCGGGCCUUGCGCUAUUGGAUGAGCCUAUGUCAGAUUAGCUAGUUGGUGGGGUAAUGGCCUACCAAGGCAACGAUCUGUAGCUGGUCUGAGAGGAUGAUCAGCCACACUGGGACUGAGACACGGCCCAGACUCCUACGGGAGGCAGCAGUGGGGAAUAUUGCACAAUGGGCGCAAGCCUGAUGCAGCAAUGCCGCGUGUGUGAAGAAGGCCUGCGGGUUGUAAAGCACUUUUAUCAGGAAAGAAAAAUCCGGAACUAAUAUUUCCGGCAUUGACGGUACCUGAAGAAUAAGCACCGGCUAACUAAGUGCCAGCUGCUGCGG
RNAcentral lists this ribosomal RNA (411 nucleotides) under uncultured Gammaproteobacteria bacterium. RNAcentral describes it as "bacterial SSU rRNA". It matches the Rfam family "Bacterial small subunit ribosomal RNA", at positions 112 to 520 of the family's 1533-position model. Lineage: Bacteria; Pseudomonadati; Pseudomonadota; Gammaproteobacteria. The record is from RNAcentral.